This is a non-coding RNA of Ixodes scapularis (black-legged tick), 117 nucleotides long. The record is from Rfam. NCBI's taxonomy places the organism in Eukaryota, Metazoa, Arthropoda, Arachnida, Ixodida, Ixodidae.
GGAAGUAGGCCUUCCGAAGCCGUUUUACAGGAAAAGGCUUCAAACCACUCUAAGCUGCGUUGGUAAAGAGCCAAGGUGGUGAGCGUUAGAGAAAAGGUAUCUUGCAAGGUAUCAGGU